GACGAACGCUGGCGGCGUGCUUAACACAUGCAAGUCGAACGGAAAGACCCUGCUUUUGUGGGGUGCUCGAGUGGCGAACGGGUGAGUAACACGUGAGUAACCUGCCCUUGACUUUGGGAUAACUUCAGGAAACUGGGGCUAAUACCGGAUAGGAGCUCCUGCUGCAUGGUGGGGGUUGGAAAGUUUCGGCGGUUGGGGAUGGACUCGCGGCUUAUCAGCUUGUUGGUGGGGUAGUGGCUUACCAAGGCUUUGACGGGUAGCCGGCCUGAGAGGGUGACCGGACACAUUGGGACUGAGAUACGGCCCAGACUCCUACGGGAGGCAGAAGUGGGGAAUAUUGCACAAUGGGCGGAAGCCUGAUGCAGCAACGCCGCGUGCGGGAUGACGGCCUUCGGGGUGUAAACCGCUUUCGCCUGUGACGAAGCGUGAGUGACGGUAAUGGGUAAAGAAGCACCGGCUAACUACGUG
RNAcentral lists this ribosomal RNA (468 nucleotides) under uncultured bacterium. Its description in RNAcentral is "partial 16S ribosomal RNA". It matches the Rfam family "Bacterial small subunit ribosomal RNA", at positions 28 to 507 of the family's 1533-position model. The record is from RNAcentral.